RNAcentral lists this ribosomal RNA (421 nucleotides) under uncultured bacterium. RNAcentral describes it as "partial 16S ribosomal RNA". It matches the Rfam family "Bacterial small subunit ribosomal RNA", at positions 355 to 768 of the family's 1533-position model. The record is from RNAcentral.
UGGGGAAUAUUGCACAAUGGGCGCAAGCCUGAUGCAGCCAUGCCGCGUGUGUGAAGAAGGCCUUCGGGUUGUAAAGCACUUUCAGCGAGGAGGAAGGGUAGUGUGUUAAUAGCACAUUGCAUUGACGUUACUCGCAGAAGAAGCACCGGCUAACUCCGUGCCAGCAGCCGCGGUAAUACGGAGGGUGCAAGCGUUAAUCGGAAUUACUGGGCGUAAAGCGCACGCAGGCGGUUUGUUAAGUCAGAUGUGAAAUCCCCGCGCUUAACGUGGAACUGCAUUUGAAACUGGCAAGCUAGAGUCUUGUAGAGGGGGGUAGAAUUCCAGGUGUAGCGGUGAAAUGCGUAGAGAUCUGGAGGAAUACCGGUGGCGAAGGCGGCCCCCCUGGACAAAGACUGACGCUCAGGUGCGAAAGCGUGGGGAG